RNAcentral lists this unclassified non-coding RNA (3337 nucleotides) under Pogonomyrmex barbatus (red harvester ant). RNAcentral describes it as "uncharacterized LOC105426884, transcript variant X1". Lineage: Eukaryota; Metazoa; Arthropoda; Insecta; Hymenoptera; Formicidae. The record is from RNAcentral.
CAAUAGCACUCGAGCGCCACCGGCAGAAACCACGAUGUCAAGGAGAGUAUCCAAAAAUUGUUCGAAUUCUCUAGAUAAGCGAUUAGGAGAAAAAUAUACGCUAAUAAUUACAAAAUUGACAGUUUUUAUCGCCACGACAUUCGGAGCAGAGGCGAGCAGUUGCCAGUUAAAUAAAAAUCUAUUGUUAACAUAUAAAACCGCUAGGGAAGGGCUAUCUUGAGAGAUAUACCAGCGAUCAUCGUGACGGCGAAUAGAGUUUGGCUCCGAGAUGAUCGGGUUGAUUUCCGUCGUGUCCAUAGCAACCAACGUAUUGCCCUGAGAACCAGCGCUCCGAUUCUCAGAUCCUCUCAUGGGUGAGGAAGAGUUAUUCUAGUGAUCUGUCUCUCAGAUUGUUACAGUAUUGUUACAGGAAGCACGGCGUGCAGAACUCGCUACCCGCUCUGUGGUCAUAUGGAAGACCUCUCUUCCUGCAAACGGGACAACACGUAUGAUUUCUUUUCAGAGCAGUAUGCAGCGGGCAUUGCAGCCAGACUAUGCCGAAUCCAUUUCUCGCGAUCCUAAUUGGUCCAACUCUGACUCUCCGAGGAACAGUCACCAAGAGAGGAAAUUUGUCGACGGAUCUCCUCAGUUGUCACUCAAUCGUCAAAGCCGAUGAGUCUAAUGUCAGCGUAUCUAACUGGUCUAUUGAUUUUAACCUUCGAGUCGCCAAUAAUGUUCCUCAUUUUCUCAACUAGCAGAUCCGCUUUAUUAGAAGAAUCCGCCUCUCGCAGCUCGAGCAGGACUCUACCAGAGAGUGCCCGCUUAAUCCUGGUAUCCAUUACAUCUAAUUCUUGUGUGGAAAUUCCCUCUCUGGCCCUGCUGAGAACGGACGCGUAAGAUGGCCCGCCAUCCUCCACCACUAUCGAGAUAGCUGCUACAUUAGGAGAGGGUACUCUAGGCCUUCUGUCUGAAAUCCUUUGGCGCGGGAUACGCUGAGAUUCAAUGUUCCUAUUUCUAUUCUCAGCAGCGCGAUCACUCCUACCAGCAGCAUCACCAUCGGUUCUUCUGCAUUUAUUUCUCUUGACCACUUCUGUCCAGCUUUCCAUCUUUCUUCCCCCAGCUUCGGAGGACGAAGCAGGUGUUGUCUGCGAGGGAUAGCACUCGCCGCGAUCUCAAAGGUCUCAAAGGUCUCAAAGGUCUGGUUAUCCUUUUCUGUCAAGCCUCUUCAAUAGAAGUAAAUUCCCUCUCCUCUCGACAUACCAAGGUCAUCUGCCAAUAGGGACCUCAUUGUGUCGGUAAAACGAAUCAAAAGCUCAUUCACCGCUUCUCAUUUCCUUCUCCUAGAUGAUUCUACCUUAUCUGUAUUUCUCUUCUUAUUUAUAUCCUGAUAUUUUUAAAAAUUUCCAGUGCAUUGCGGGAAAUCCGACCGAAGCGCUUAUCGACAUCUUCAUUGCGCACUACUCCAUCAGCUCCGUCCGACCGAGGCCUGUCACCAUUGGGAGGCACAGGACGUUCAGAACGAUUUCCGUUCGAGGAAAAUUUCCUUUGAUUCAGCUCCUCCAUAAGAUUCUUGAUAGACUGUCUCAAUGAUCUGUUCUCUUCCUUCAAAUCAUUAAGUUCCCGUUUAAUUUCCUCGAGAUAUCUAUUUUGAAGGUCUUCCUUUCUUUUUGCAGCUUUCCUGGAGAUAAGAUUUUCCACAGCACAUUUCGCCGAUAAUAAAUUAAUUUUGAUGGCCUUGCUGACCUUGCAAAGAGCCGGAUUUCCUUCUGCAGUUCUCCAUCUCAUUCAGCCAUUCGAUGACUUGAGCACCUACAUCUUCGGAAUUGAGAUAUUUUAUCAUAUUAUAUCUGUCCUCUAUUUCCAUUUUCUGCCCUACCGUUAAACGCUCUCUCUCCUUAUUCUUAGGAGAAGAUCCUAACCUCCUCUUCUUAGACUUGACUUCAGAAAGGAUGUCUCGUUGCCCGUAUUCGUGUACGAGACAAAGCUGGCAUCUUAAUCUGAAUCGAUUAGACUAAUCGAGUCUAUCACUUGCUCUUCCAGGUCCCUACUACAGCCAGCGAUUUCCAUCUUAUCACUCUCUCUGCUUGAUGAAUAGAGUCUACUAGCACUGACAUCAUCGUCACGAACCUUUGCUAUAAGAGAAUCAGGGAAUCUCCGAGAGACAUCCUCUAACACGCGGGAGAUUCCUGCGGAAGAAGGAACACCACCACCGAUUGUUUCAUUACCUACCGGACCGGCCACCCGGUCACCUAUCUGCCCUACGCCAGUUAAGGCCUGCUGGGAGCAGGGACUCAACUCCCAGUGCCACGAUCCUCUCGACUUUCCACAUCGAGAGGGGUCCCGUUGCCCGAUGACGAUCGCACAGAGAGCGGGUUCUCUCCACGAGGCCGCCCCGCCAUCCGAGAAGCAGCAGGGGGUGAUCUUUCCAUUUUUCUACUCAUAUUUAUAUUUUAUAAUUGAUUUUUUUGCAGAAGUAAUCCUCUCCUGUCCAGCCAUUGUUGCGUCGGAAUGGGAAGUUCCAACGCAGUCGUCAACGAUGAAAAACAGUCCAACGAAAAGAAGAAAUCAAGAAGAAUAGUCCUAAAUAAUCAGGAAUAAAAAGAAAAAUCAAGCUUCAGACUCAUCUUAAUCCUAAAUUGAAAUGGAAAGGAAACUGAGCCGGCUCGACGUGGUGACGGGAAUCACAUCCCUCGAUGCACGGCUAUUCGCCGACUCCGGAUAUCUCAGCUCCUCAUUACCUAUCCAUACUAACAAACACCUACCAUCCUCUAGACUGUUCUACUGUAAUACAGCCUGCCUGGUGGCAAAAACAUCACCAAAAACAUCAUCUUUCAGCAGACAGAAGAGGCAGCCACAGUUCAAAUACGGCUACGGCUACGGACCGAGUAACAGACAACAGAUACUCCUCCAGCACGUUCAAAGUACGAGAGACCUGAAUCAGCUAAUAUAAUAGAUAAUAGAGCUAGAUAAUAGAGAUAAAAAGAAAAUUAACAAGAGCAGACUAAAAGAUUACGAUUAACCUAAAAAUUAAAUAACAUUAGAAAACAACGAAGAAAAAACUAAAUAAAUAACAAUUAAAAAGGCUUGUAACAAAUAAUUCAUAAAGCUAAGAGCGAUCAAUAAAUCAACAACACUGCAAUGAGUUGAGAAAAUUUAAUAAAAGAACAACAAGAUAAGUAAUUCAUUAAAUAGAUAAAUAAAAAGAAAUAUUAACAAUAAAUAUUAACAAUAAAUAGUAAUAACUACAAUCUCCUAAACUUCUUAGAGCCAACCCAUAUAUAUAUAUAUAUAUAUAAACAAUGAAUAACUCAUAAAGGAUCGAUAAACAACUAACUGACUAGAUAAAUAAAUAAAAAAA